UGUCUGAUGUCAAUGUACAAGUUUUGCCAGGCUGUGAUCGAGGUGUUUGGCCCAGAGUACUUGAGGCAGCCAAUUGCCGCUGAUACAGAGAGAUUGUUAGCGACCAACGCAACUAGAGGCUUUCCAGGCAUGCUUGGCAGCAUAGAUUGUAUGCACUGGGAGUGGAAGAACUGUCCAUUUGCUUGGCAGGGCCAGUACAAAGGGCAUGUCAAGGCGUGCACUGUCAUAUUAGAAGCGGUGGCAUCACAGGAUCUUUGGAUAUGGCAUUCUUUCUUCGGCAUGGCAGGUUCUCACAAUGAUAUCGACGUGCUGCAGCGUUCUCCAGUCUUCGCGAGGCUUGCAGAAGGCCACUCCCCACCUGUCAACUUUGAGAUCAACGGCCACCAUUACAACAAGGGAUACUAUAUAGCAGAUGCUAUAUAUCCUCAGUGGUCAACUUUUGUGAAG
RNAcentral lists this ribosomal RNA (447 nucleotides) under Triticum aestivum (bread wheat). RNAcentral describes it as "partial small subunit ribosomal RNA". The record is from RNAcentral. Lineage: Eukaryota; Viridiplantae; Streptophyta; Magnoliopsida; Poales; Poaceae.